UUCAUUGUGCUCUUGUUGCGUGCGGUCCCAUUUAUUUGUUUUGCAUUUGUCUUCUUCAACUGAACUUGUCACUCUCUCUCUCUUCAAUGGCUUCCUUUUCUCUCACCUCCUCGUCUCCUACCCUUCACAAAGCCACCAUCAUCGACCCUUCUUCUUCUUCUUCUUCUUCUUCUUCUUCUUCUCAUGCCUUCCCUCACCGUCCCCCCUUCGUUUUGCGAAUGCCCCACCAACCCCGUCGCCUUCAAACCCCUCUUGUUUUGCCCAAGAUUCAAUCUUUGCGCCACAAAACUAGAGCUACACCAGUUACCAAAGACUUGUGGGAUAAUUCCAUUCUGAAAAGUGAAACCCCAGUCCUUGUUAUAUUCUACGCAAAUUGGUGCGGCCCGUGCAGGAUGGUUCACCGGAUAAUAGACGAGAUUGCAACUGAGUAUGCUGGGAAACUCAAGUGCUUUAUAGUCAACACAGACACUGACAUGCAAAUUGCUGAAGACUAUGAAAUUAAGGCUGUACCAGUGGUUUUGAUGUUUAAAAAUGGUGAGAAAUGUGAUUCUGUAAUUGGUACCAUGCCGAAGGAGUUUUAUGUGGCUGCUAUUGAGAGGGUGCUCAAGUCGUAAUCAUGGAUCAAUGCGGGCAAAACCUCAGUGAAGGGAGUGAACUUUUUGUCCAUUUUCAGUUAAAUUUUCUGUUAGUUUGUCUGACUACGAAGCAUGCUGAGUUCUUGUACAUAUUUUGGUUCCUUUUUUUUUUUCCAUAAUAGGCGCGGCCAUGUGAGACUGCUUUCGUAAUGAUCCACUUUCAAUCUCUAUAAUUUCCUUUGAAAAAUCUUGUUCAGCUAUAGAGAAUAUCAUAGUUGAAAUUUAAGUGUUCCUUUGGUACUUGAUUCGAACAGUUUUAUUCUGGAGGUUGCUUCAAAUUCCAGCAGAAGUGAAGGAAAAGAAUGAUAAGGACGAUUCCACAUAAAAUAAUAUCAACUCUGCCUUGACUAAUAGCUAGAGAUCUCGGUUCUAUUUGUUUUAAGUUUUUAUAUAGCAAAAAGAUUACAUAUGUUAACAAAAAGACUUAACAUGGGUAAAAAGGUCUUUUUCAUAGUUUGUUUUAGGCUUUAUUCAACAUUGAGCCGGACUUGUACUUAAGGUCUUAGAUUAAGUCCUAAUGGAGGAUAAAUUAUGUAUUA
This is an RNA transcript of Glycine soja, 1174 nucleotides long. It is a transcript of the gene named thioredoxin M3, chloroplastic-like, with no coding region annotated. The record is from RefSeq and is a predicted model, not a curated record. NCBI's taxonomy places the organism in Eukaryota, Viridiplantae, Streptophyta, Magnoliopsida, Fabales, Fabaceae. The transcript is spliced from 3 exons.